CGAGGUGCUGCUAGCGGGCCGUCUACGCUAACGAGGUCGAGAGUGACGAGGUCAUCCUGGUCGAGUCCACCGUUGAAAGAACCACCACCAUCGCCACCACCACCACCAUCACAGCAGCUCCUCGGUUCGGGGUGAGGAACAUGAGGAUCGAUGAAGAAACCACCUACAGCCUGAGGGUGUCAUGGCAGCCGCUGGACUCCAGGAACCUCCGACAUUAUCGACUCAGCUACAUCAGCGCCAAGGGCGACCGGGCGGAGGAGACGGUGAGAAGAUCCAAGCCUCU
Molecule: long non-coding RNA, 283 nt
Organism: Pleuronectes platessa (European plaice)
Lineage: Eukaryota; Metazoa; Chordata; Actinopteri; Pleuronectiformes; Pleuronectidae
Exons: 3
Source: RefSeq, a predicted model, not a curated record